AUUAAAUAGUUUUAAUCAUUUUUAAUUAUUAAAGCUAUUUAAUUUCGGUAUUUAAGAGCAGAAGGGUAUUUUGGUCAUUUUACCAAAAGAGUAUUGAGUAUUUCCACAAAGAAGUAUUUUAGUAUUUUCAAGGAAGUAUUUUAUUAAUAUUAGUAGGAAGAUUAUUUUGGAAAUUUAUCAUCAAAUGUAUUUUGGCAAUUUGAUGAGUAAGGGCAUUUUGGUCUUACCCAAAAUGACUACCACUAUAAAAAGGGGAAAACCUAAAGUUUCCCAUCUUUUUUCCAUCUUCUUCACUAGCCACCAUUUCUUCAAAAAGGAGUAAGAAGUUCAUUUCUCUCUCAAACUCUAGUUUUCCUCAAGUAAGUUUUCUUCAAGUAAUUUCUUCAAUAAUUCUAGCUUCUAAUCUAGUUUUGUUUUUGAAAUUUAUAGGAAGAUCUAGCUUGCAAUUAUCAAAGGGAAGCAAAAGGUUUCAAGAAUAAUUAAAGCCAGUCAAACUUUUGACUGUUGAUUUUUGUGUAAUCAAGAGUUUAGAGAAGAAGUUGCAGGUACAAGUUCUUGAUGUGCAUGGAAAUCAUAAGCAUCCGGAUGGGAAUUUUCAGUCACGAGUACUUUAUUAUUUAAGUUAUCUUAAUUUUAUAUUUGACUUUACUUGACCAAUGGGGUCAAGGUUUGACUUUUGAAAUGGGACUAGUAUGGGAUAGUCUCGGAGUUUGUAAUUCAUUUACAUACUUUCUUAUUUCCGUUGUAUUAAAGUAUUUCAGUUUAUUUUAAAAGACUUCCGCUGUAUUAUCUGAUUAGCCUUACGUAUUAUCAUGCGUGGCAUAACAACUCCCGCAAUUUCUCCUAGUUUAUAAAAGGAGGAGUCGUGGGGGUGUUACAAAGUGGUUACCAGAGCUCCAAGGUUUAUAUUACCUUAUUUUACAAAAGUUUUCGAACUUAAAAGUAUUUCAAAGUCGAAUUGCAAAAAGGGAAGGGAAUUGCAUAUGCAUAUGUACAUUG
This is a long non-coding RNA of Beta vulgaris subsp. vulgaris (sugar beet), 999 nucleotides long. RefSeq lists it as uncharacterized. The transcript has 3 exons. Lineage: Eukaryota; Viridiplantae; Streptophyta; Magnoliopsida; Caryophyllales; Amaranthaceae. The record is from RefSeq and is a predicted model, not a curated record.